Molecule: ribosomal RNA, 500 nt
Filed under: uncultured bacterium
Lineage: Bacteria
Description: partial 16S ribosomal RNA
Rfam family: Bacterial small subunit ribosomal RNA
Source: RNAcentral
AUUGAACGCUGGCGGCAUGCCUUACACAUGCAAGUCGAACGGCAGCACGGGAGCAAUCCUGGUGGCGAGUGGCGGACGGGUGAGUAAUAUAUCGGAACGUGCCCAGUCGUGGGGGAUAACGCAGCGAAAGCUGUGCUAAUACCGCAUACGAUCUAAGGAUGAAAGCGGGGGAUCGCAAGACCUCGCGCGAUUGGAGCGGCCGAUAUCAGAUUAGCUAGUUGGUGGGGUAAAGGCCCACCAAGGCGACGAUCUGUAGCUGGUCUGAGAGGACGACCAGCCACACUGGAACUGAGACACGGUCCAGACUCCUACGGGAGGCAGCAGUGGGGAAUUUUGGACAAUGGGCGCAAGCCUGAUCCAGCAAUGCCGCGUGCAGGAUGAAGGCCUUCGGGUUGUGAACUGCUUUUGUACGGAACGAAACGGCCCUUUCUAAUACAGGGGGCUAAUGACGGUACCGUAAGAAUAAGCACCGGCUAACUACGUGCCAGCCGCCGCCGUAA